This 637-nucleotide ribosomal RNA is filed under the name uncultured archaeon. RNAcentral's name for it is "bacterial SSU rRNA". It matches the Rfam family "Archaeal small subunit ribosomal RNA", at positions 175 to 817 of the family's 1478-position model. The record is from RNAcentral.
AUGCUCUGUAACCCAAAGCUCCGGCGCCCUAGGAUGGGUCUGCGGCCGAUUAGGUUGUUGUCGGGGUAACGGCCCAACAAGCCGAUCAUCGGUACGGGUUGUGGGAGCAAGAGCCCGGAGAUGGAUUCUGAGACACGAAUCCAGGCCCUACGGGGCGCAGCAGGCGCGAAAACUUUACAAUGCGGGAAACCGUGAUAAGGGGACCCCGAGUGCCUGUACACGCAGGCUGUUCAGGUGUUUAAAACGCAUCUGGAGAAAGGGCCGGGCAAGACCGGUGCCAGCCGCCGCGGUAAUACCGGCGGCUCGAGUGGUGGCCACUAUUACUGGGCUUAAAGCGUCCGUAGCCGGGUCGUUAAGUCUCCCGGGAAAUCCAACGGCUUAACCGUUGGGCGUUCGGGGGAUACUGGCGAUCUAGGGAUCGGGGGAGGUGAGAGGUACUCUAGGGGUAGGAGUGAAAUCCUGUAAUCCUUGGGGGACCACCUGUGGCGAAGGCGUCUCACCAGAACGACUCCGACGGUGAGGGACGAAAGCUGGGGGAGCAAACCGGAUUAGAUACCCGGGUAGUCCCAGCUGUAAACGAUGCGCGUUAGGUGUAUCGGUGACUACGAGUUACCGAGGUGCCGAAGGGAAACCGUGA